Molecule: ribosomal RNA, 517 nt
Filed under: bacterium H12(2014)
Lineage: Bacteria
Description: bacterial SSU rRNA
Rfam family: Bacterial small subunit ribosomal RNA
Source: RNAcentral
CGGGGAGAAAAGGAGUGAAGCGUGGCGGCGGCCUACACAUGCAAGUCGAGCGGAUGACGGGAGCUUGCUCCUUGAUUCAGCGGCGGACGGGUGAGUAAUGCCUAGGAAUCUGCCUGGUAGUGGGGGACAACGUUCCGAAAGGGGCGCUAAUACCGCAUACGUCCUACGGGAGAAAGUGGGGGAUCUUCGGACCUCACGCUAUCAGAUGAGCCUAGGUCGGAUUAGCUAGUUGGUGAGGUAAUGGCUCACCAAGGCGACGAUCCGUAACUGGUCUGAGAGGAUGAUCAGUCACACUGGAACUGAGACACGGUCCAGACUCCUACGGGAGGCAGCAGUGGGGAAUAUUGGACAAUGGGCGAAAGCCUGAUCCAGCCAUGCCGCGUGUGUGAAGAAGGUCUUCGGAUUGUAAAGCACUUUAAGUUGGGAGGAAGGGCAGUAAGUUAAUACCUUGCUGUUUUGACGUUACCGACAGAAUAAGCACCGGCUAACUCUGUGCCAGCUGCCCCGGGGUAAUACA